GACAAAAUGACUGAUAAAAAGUAGAAAACUGUAAAUUUUUAUAUGGGUUUAAAUUAUCCUUUUGUU
Molecule: transfer RNA, 66 nt
Filed under: Mycopsylla gardenensis
Lineage: Eukaryota; Metazoa; Arthropoda; Insecta; Hemiptera; Carsidaridae
Description: tRNA-Tyr
Source: RNAcentral